GACGAACGCUGGCGGCGUGCUUAACACAUGCAAGUCGAACGGAAAGGCCCUGCUUUUGUGGGGUGCUCGAGUGGCGAACGGGUGAGUAACACGUGAGUAACCUGCCCUUGACUUUGGGAUAACUUCAGGAAACUGGGGCUAAUACCGGAUAGGAGCUCCUGCUGCAUGGUGGGGGUUGGAAAGUUUCGGCGGUUGGGGAUGGACUCGCGGCUUAUCAGCUUGUUGGUGGGGUAGUGGCUUACCAAGCCUUUGACGGGUAGCCGGCCUGAGAGGGUGACCGGCCACAUUGGGACUGAGAGACGGCCCAGACGCCUACGGUAGGCAGCAGUGGGGAAUAUUGCACAAUGGGCGGAAGCCUGAUGCAGCAACGCCGCGUGCGGGAUGACGGCCUUCGGGUUGUAAACCGCUUUCGCCUGUGACGAAGCGUGAGUGACGGUAAUGGGUAAAGAAGCACCGGCUAACUACGUG
RNAcentral lists this ribosomal RNA (468 nucleotides) under uncultured bacterium. RNAcentral's name for it is "partial 16S ribosomal RNA". It matches the Rfam family "Bacterial small subunit ribosomal RNA", at positions 28 to 507 of the family's 1533-position model. The record is from RNAcentral.